UUAACCACUUAAGCGCCAGAGCUUGAACCUGCGCGGGGGAGAAGGAGCAGCAAUUAAGCCAUGUUGGAGGCUGUGCUGAUCCGGAUCACGGCAAACUCAAGCUGACGAGGUGGAGGUGUUCGAAAUGUUCGGCGGGGACCUCCCGGUGAAGCGCCAGAGCCGUAAAUGGAAACGGAAAACGAACAGGGCAACCGUUCAGACAACGUUUUUGUGGGCGCAAU
RNAcentral lists this non-coding RNA (221 nucleotides) under Paenibacillus sabinae. Its description in RNAcentral is "GlcN6P sequence". It matches the Rfam family "glmS glucosamine-6-phosphate activated ribozyme aptamer". From Rfam's summary of the family: This entry contains a glucosamine-6-phosphate activated ribozyme that is found in the mRNA for GlmS. GlmS is an enzyme that uses fructose-6-phosphate and glutamine to generate glucosamine-6-phosphate. The record is from RNAcentral. Lineage: Bacteria; Bacillati; Bacillota; Bacilli; Caryophanales; Paenibacillaceae.